GAUGAAUGCUGGCGGCGUGCCUAAUACAUGCAAGUCGUGCGGCAGCGCGAGUAGUUUACUACUUGGCGGCGAGCGGCGGACGGCUGAGUAACGCGUGGGAACGUGCCCCAAAGUGAGGGAUAAGCCCGAGAAAUCGGGUCUAAUACCGCAUAUGGUCUUCGGAUUAAAGCUUCGGCGCUUUGGGAGCGGCCCGCGUACGAUUAGAUUGUUGGUGAGGUAAUGGCUCACCAAGUCGACGAUCGUUAGCUGGUCUGAGAGGAUGAUCAGCCAGACUGGAACUGAGACACGGUCCAGACUCCUACGGGAGGCAGCAGUAAGGAAUCUUCCACAAUGGGGGCAACCCUGAUGGAGCAACGCCGCGUGCAGGAUGAAGGCCCUCGGGUCGUAAACUGCUUUUAUGAGUGAAGAAUAUGACGGUAACUCAUGAAUAAGCACCGGCUAACUACGUGCCAGCAGCCGCGGUCAUACGUAGGGUGCAAGCAUUAUCCGGAGUGACUGGGCGUAAAGAGUUGCGUAGGCGGUUAGUAAAGCGAAUAGUGAAACCUGGUGGCUCAACCAUACAGACUAUUAUUCGAACUCACUAACUCGAGAGUGGUAGAGGUAACUGGAAUUUCUUGUGUAGGAGUGAAAUCCGUAGAUAUAAGAAGGAACACCAAUGGCGUAUGCAGGUUACUGGACCAUUUCUGACGCUAAGGCACGAAAGCGUGGGGAGCAAACGGGAUUACAUACCCCGGUACUCCACGCCGUAAACGAUAGGAUACUAUAUGUUGGACGUCUCCACCCCUAAGUAACCAAGCUAACGCGCUAACUAUCCCGCCUGUGCAGUACGGCAGCUAGCUAAAAUUGACCGGAAAUGACAGGGAUCAUAGAAGUUGUUCGAUCAUGUUCUUCAAAUCAAAUGAACCAUCCCUAACCUUGACUGUGUCUGACCUC
RNAcentral lists this ribosomal RNA (933 nucleotides) under uncultured bacterium. RNAcentral's name for it is "bacterial SSU rRNA". It matches the Rfam family "Bacterial small subunit ribosomal RNA", at positions 28 to 998 of the family's 1533-position model. The record is from RNAcentral.